Molecule: small RNA, 94 nt
Filed under: Chryseobacterium piscicola
Lineage: Bacteria; Pseudomonadati; Bacteroidota; Flavobacteriia; Flavobacteriales; Weeksellaceae
Description: Flavo-1 RNA
Rfam family: Flavo-1 RNA
Source: RNAcentral
UAUUUGCGUGAGGGAUGGAAGCGGCAUCCUUUUUUUGAUGCGAUGGGAAAGCAUUGGUAACCAAAAAAAGAUAUAGCAUACAGCCCGACCCGAG